Lemur catta (Ring-tailed lemur) is the source of this 527-nucleotide long non-coding RNA. RefSeq lists it as uncharacterized. The transcript is spliced from 3 exons. NCBI's taxonomy places the organism in Eukaryota, Metazoa, Chordata, Mammalia, Primates, Lemuridae. The record is from RefSeq and is a predicted model, not a curated record.
CCGCCGGCGGGAGUCUGGGUGCGGGGGGCGGGCCGGGCCGCGCCCCUCGGCGUUCCGGAACCUGGUCCUGCGGAGCAGGGCGGGGCUGUCCGGGCUCGGGCCACGCGGCAGUGCCAGAAACGCGCUGGCUCCGUACGGACUGUUUCCGUUCUGUGCCUCCGACUCCUGUGAAACAAUCACGUCUAUGCAGCUCUGUGUUGGAGUUUGCCAGCGCGAGCGCUCCGAAUGCUGAGGCCACUAUUCCUGGGAGGCAGUCACAGCCAGAGCGUGGUAGAUGUCUGAAGAGCGUUAGAACCAUCUGCGUCCCUGCUGCAGACCAGGAGGUGCCCUUAACUACUGCCGGUCCCAGAGUGCCGACCCAGCUGCCGCUUGGAGCAUCAAGAUAUUUAAUUAUCUGACCUUACAUGAAGUCCAGAGUUAACUAAGAGCUACUUCUACUCAGUGUGUAACUGGCCCCAUUGGACAAAUUUCAAUGACCCAUAUAUAUAUAUAUACAUACACACAUACAUAUAUAUAUAUUUUUUUUU